RNAcentral lists this long non-coding RNA (1173 nucleotides) under Canis lupus familiaris (dog). RNAcentral describes it as "lncRNA (ENSCAFG00030018881.1)". The record is from RNAcentral. Lineage: Eukaryota; Metazoa; Chordata; Mammalia; Carnivora; Canidae.
AUGGUUCCUCUGGAGGCCUCCCGCCCCCACCCCGGGCCGGGCUGGGCUCCAGCUGUCAGGAAUGGCGGUCUGGCCCGUUCCCGGGAACUCGUGACAGCGCGGGGUGUCGGGCUGAGAGUGGGGGGCGGACGCCCCCGCCCCCCGCCCCGGGGAGCUGCCGCACCGCAGAGCUCGGCUCAACUUUCCCCACACCCGUCUCCGCAGAGCGGUCUGCGCGGAGUUGGGGCCGCCCGGCCCGCGCCCCCCGGCGCCCGCGCCCCCGCGCCCCCGCGCCCCCCGCCUCCCUGGGCGCCCCCCGCCUCCCUGGGCGCCCCGGCUGGGCGGGCUGCGGCCGGCGGGGAGCGCGGGGUCCUCCGGCAGCGGCGGGGCGGGGCGGGGGCGGGGCGGGGCGCGGGGCACUCACCGCUUCCUGGGGGGCUCACUGCGGAGCCGCGCCCGGGGCGCACGGGGCCCGCCCGGGCGCUGGCGGGGGCGGCGGGGGCGGCGGGGGCGGCGGCGGCGGCCGGGCUCCGGGGACCGGGGCGACGAGCCUGCGAGAGUGAGCGGCGGGGGUCAUGGCCCGGCCGGGCAGCGCGGACCCCGCUCCGCCCCGGCCGCCGCUCGGGCCGCCGCCGCGCGCACGCCUCCGGCCGCCCCCUCCCCGGCCCCUCGGGGCGGCGCUGCCCCUGGCCCCGCCCCGCCCGCGGGCGCCGGGUGGCUCGGGCCGGGGAGGGGGCGGAGCAGGCCCGCCCGCCGCCUCCCGGGGACCGUGCCAGGGGCGCGCCCGGCGCCCGCCUCGGUUCCCUCGCGCCCGGCCUGGGGAGGGGGGAGGGCGGGGCCCGGGGGAAGUUGGGGCCCCUCCCCGGGGCUGCGUGCCAGGCUGCCCGAGGCCGUGCACCCCAGCCCAGGUUGGGUGGGAAGGGGCGCGGGGCUCUCCCGGACCAGGUGGCCACAGAGGAGUGGGCCCCAUCGCCAGGCUGCGGAGAGGGGAGCCCAGGGGUGCGAGGUUCCACCUUCUCGCCAGCCCUAGCGCCCUACCCCUGCUCCAGGGGCUGGGGUGGGGGCGGGACAAGUAAGCAACGCCCCUCCCCCCUCUUGGGAGAGCUGUGGGGCUUCAGAGGGCCCUCGGGAUCAAAAGGCGGCCUCCCUGGUGUCGGGUUCGGCCCUUCCACCCUCCACUUCUCGAGAGAUUGA